UAAUUAACUGGACGUUACCCACAGAAGAAGCACCGGCUAACUCCGUGCCAGCAGCCGCGGUAAUACGGAGGGUGCGAGCGUUAAUCGGAAUUACUGGGCGUAAAGGGUGCGUAGGUGGUUGAUUAAGUUAUCUGUGAAAUUCCUGGGCUUAACCUGGGACGGUCAGAUAAUACUGGUUGACUCGAGUAUGGGAGAGGGUAGUGGAAUUUCCGGUGUAGCGGUGAAAUGCGUAGAGAUCGGAAGGAACACCAGUGGCGAAGGCGGCUACCUGGCCUAAUACUGACACUGAGGCACGAAAGCGUGGGGAGCAAACAGGAUUAGAUACCCUGGUAGUCCACGCUGUAAA
Molecule: ribosomal RNA, 346 nt
Filed under: uncultured Legionella sp.
Lineage: Bacteria; Pseudomonadati; Pseudomonadota; Gammaproteobacteria; Legionellales; Legionellaceae
Description: bacterial SSU rRNA
Rfam family: Bacterial small subunit ribosomal RNA
Source: RNAcentral